This 497-nucleotide ribosomal RNA is filed under the name uncultured bacterium. RNAcentral describes it as "partial 16S ribosomal RNA". It matches the Rfam family "Bacterial small subunit ribosomal RNA", at positions 28 to 507 of the family's 1533-position model. The record is from RNAcentral.
GAUGAACGCUGGCGGCGUGCCUAAUACAUGCAAGUCGAGCGAACGGACGAGAAGCUUGCUUCUCUGAUGUUAGCGGCGGACGGGUGAGUAACACGUGGAUAACCUACCUAUAAGACUGGGAUAACUUCGGGAAACCGGAGCUAAUACCGGAUGAUAUUUUGAACCGCAUGGUUCAAAAGUGAAAGACGGUCUUGCUGUCACUUAUAGAUGGAUCCGCGCUGCAUUAGCUAGUUGGUAAGGUAACGGCAUACCAAGGCAACGAUGCAUAGCCGACCUGAGAGGGUGAUCGGCCACACUGGAACUGAGACACGGUCCAGACUCCUACGGGAGGCAGCAGUAGGGAAUCUUCCGCAAUGGGCGAAAGCCUGACGGAGCAACGCCGCGUGAGUGAUGAAGGUCUUCGGAUCGUAAAACUCUGUUAUUAGGGAAGAACAUAUGUGUAAGUAACUGUGCACAUCUUGACGGUACCUAAUCAGAAAGCCACGGCUAACUACGUG